Molecule: ribosomal RNA, 291 nt
Filed under: uncultured eukaryote
Lineage: Eukaryota
Description: partial 18S ribosomal RNA
Rfam family: Eukaryotic small subunit ribosomal RNA
Source: RNAcentral
GGUUGAUCCUGCCAGUAGUCAUAUGCUUGUCCCAAAGAUUAAGCCAUGCAUGUCCAAGUAUAAACCUUUAUACGGUGAAACUGCGAAUGGCUCAUUAUAUCAGUUAUAAUUUACUUGAUGAUCUCUUUACUACUUGGAUAACCGUGGUAAUUCUAGAGCUAAUACAUGCAAAGAACCCGACUUACGAAGGGUUGUAUUUAUUAGAUAAAAACCAAUGCCUCGUGCUUUUGGUGAGUCAUGAUAACUGCGCGGAUCGCAUGGCCUUGCGCCGGCGACGCUUCAUUCAAAUUU